AAUAAAACGCUGCCGCUGCAGACGCAACUGCCGAGUUACCAUCUUGGGUGAGGUGCUGGAGCGUGUCAGUGGGGUGUGUAAAUUCCUUGGCCGUCGACGCAAGCUGUGCUGUCAAUGAGCUUUGUGAACCGAGACCUGAAGCACCUCGAGUUGUCCCUGAAGACCUGGAAAAGCGUUUAGUUGUUGUACCUGUGCCUUUUCUUCUCUCACCUAAAUAAACCUCAAGCAUCAAACUCACCAUCUGGCUCUUUUGUGUGUUUGGUUUUAUUUUGAGUUUUGCACGGCAUAUUCUUUCGGGUCCCUUGUGUGGAGAAUUGUAUCCUGAUGUCCUGGGCGACCUGCCCCCUCUCCAGCCUAUGGCUCUAGCCCCUCGGGGUUUUUUGUUUUAUGGGGGUUUUUCACUUGCCAAGCCUUCAGUCACAUGAGCCAGUUUCUGACAAUGAAGAACUCAGUUUCGUUUCUCUGGAGAAUGCUAACUGAUAUAUCCCCAAACCUAAGUGAUGGGGAGGAGGCUGACGUCCAUAGGGAUGGACCCAGAGACAUGGAGGACCUCUGCCUGGGCUCCUGAACCGCCCAGGGGAGAGUGAUUAUUCACAUAGGCAUAUUCAAGGCAGUUCUGACAAAUGGAAAACAGCACCUUUCUUUACAAGCUUCAAGCAAAAGACUGGACCAAGCCUGAGCUGGUGUGGCUCGGUUGACUGGAGUGUCACCCCAUGUGCAGGAAGGUCACGGGUUCUGGUCAGGGUACGAGGAGGUUGCAUGUUCAACUCCGGGUCAAGGCACAUAGAGGAGGCAACUGAUCAAUGUUCUCUCUUUUCUCUCUCUCUCUCUCUCUCU
This is a long non-coding RNA of Myotis davidii, 837 nucleotides long. RefSeq lists it as uncharacterized. Lineage: Eukaryota; Metazoa; Chordata; Mammalia; Chiroptera; Vespertilionidae. The record is from RefSeq and is a predicted model, not a curated record. The transcript has 2 exons.